GAUGAACGCUAGCGGCAGGCUUAAUACAUGUAAGUCGUACGGGAUCCGAGGUAGCAUUAUCUUGGUGAGAGUGGCGCACGGGUGCGUAACACGUAUGCAACCUACCUUUAACCGGGACACAACCUCGAGAAAUUGAGGCUAAUAUCCCAUAACACUGCGUUGAGGCAUCUCAGUGCAGUUAAAACUCCGGUGGUUAUUGAUGGGCAUGCGCGACAUUAGCUAGUUGGUGAGGUAACGGCCCACCAAGGCUACGAUGUCUAGGGGUUCUGAGAGGAUUAUCCCCCACACUGGUACUGAGACACGGACCAGACUCCUACGGGUGG
This 323-nucleotide ribosomal RNA is filed under the name uncultured Bacteroidota bacterium. Its description in RNAcentral is "bacterial SSU rRNA". It matches the Rfam family "Bacterial small subunit ribosomal RNA", at positions 28 to 348 of the family's 1533-position model. The record is from RNAcentral. Lineage: Bacteria; Pseudomonadati; Bacteroidota.